ACGUGCCUUUAUUGUAAUCAUAUUUUUUCUUGCUCCAACAUAUUUUUAACGCUUCAUGUUGAAGUAGGACAGCGUCUUCCGCCGUGUAAGCAGUGCGCUGGCGUUCGCGUCAUCGCAGUUUUCCACAGCGGGGCAGCGUGACAAACCACAACAAACUAACCAAUUGAUUCAUUCAGUUUCGUCACUUUUCUUACGAUGUUUUGUUGAAACUACAUGCUAGUGUAAUUGUAUAUAACUCAUAUUUUGGAUGCUAUAAAUCAUAUAAGAUUCUUGGCAAAUUUCAAUGUUUCAGGAUGGGUUGCAACAUCUCAUGCCGCCCUUGCUGUUGCUGCUGCAUCCCGUGCCUGUGCUGUGAUUGCUGCGCUGACCCUCCAACUCAGACGACGGUGGUUCACCAUCAUCACCCUCCACAACCUGCACCCGCCCCUGUCAUCAUUAACCAACCUCCACCACCAUAUAAAUAGUACAUUUAAAUAUAUCAUUUUCGUGUCGCUUAUGUAACAACGAUGUAGCAUCAAUUAAGGAAAUGUGAAAAAGAGAUAAUUAUUUACUGUUUUAUAAUGCAUAAUAUAAAUAUAAUAUCGUAGCUGUAGUAAAGAUAUAUAUGUAUAUAUAAUAUAUUUACUGCUUUUCCGAUAAACCUUAUUAGUCAGUCUUUUGAUAAUUUCAAGGCUUUUCAGCUUUUCCCAAAAAACCUAAUUUAAGUAGAAAAGUGGCAAAACAUUAGGUUAAGCAGUAAGUAAUUAAAAUUAUUACUGGCAAGGUGUCUACUGUAUGAUUUUAUUGUUUAAUUUAUUAGUAUAAUUUACGCCAUUUGUUUUAUUAGUUAUCUACAUAAUAGAUACCAUUCUAUUUACUUGCUAGUAUUAUGUAUAUAAAUAUUUAUUUUAUGUUUAAUAUAAUUUAAUAUUUGUCUUUCAACAUGAUAAAGGUAAAAUAAAACAAUAAACAAGUUGUAAAAUGUUAUGUAAGUUAUUCUACCAGAAUAAUUUAUAAAUAAUAUAUUUUUUAAUAAACUGAUAUGUAAUAAAUUGUUUAUUGAUUCCUCUUAGUAUAAAUAGUUUUCAGGUAGAUAUUUUAAAAAAAUAAUAAUCAAUCGGUUUAUUUUAUGUCGGCUUUAUUGAUAUCAUGUCACUGAUAGUGUGAGUAUAAAAAUGUGUCAUUAAUGAAUCAUCAUACAAUGUUCAAUUAUAUAAGCCUACGCUGUUAUCUGCCUUAUAAUAAAAACUUUAAAGUCUCCAUAAAAAACAGGAGCUGGGUAAUAUAAUAUUAUGUAUUAUUCUUUUUUAAUUACAUUGUAAAUAAGUAUGUUGUUUAAUACAUCAUUUUGUCAUUAUUAAUCUGUUUAUAGCCGUCUAUCCCGUAAACAUAUUUAUUAUAAAAAUAACAUUAUAAAUAUCGUACGAUUAAAAUAAAACGCGAUUUGUUAAUGGCAAUUAUGGUAGAUAUAUUUUAUCAAUUCGAAACGCCAUUGAACUCGGCAAUGCUCAUUGUUGGGUAAUAAUUGCUUAAGGCGUCCAUGACUUCAUUUUUUGAUCAGCGCCAAAACGGCCAUCCACCAGACCGAGUUAUGCUGUAGAGGCCAGGACAGCUAAACAAAUUGAACAAAUAGCGACUUUAAAAGACAAGAUACAGUACAUAGACAUUUAAAUUACCACGGCUGUUUUAAAAAUCCUCUCACACAUUUUUUUUACAGAAAAUAUAACCAAUUAAAAAUAAUGGCAAAUGAAUAGAUUAUAUAUUUUAGCUAAAUAAUGUUGUUCCGCCAUUUUGUUCGGUUGAAGGUUACAGCACGUGACACGUCCGUAAAAAUUUAAGAUAGGUGUUUUGUGGUUGUAUUGAAUUUUAGCGGUAUUUGAUCUUUAAGUGGGAAAUGUUCAAAUUAGCCGUAAGUAUUUCACCAGCAUGUUUAAGUGUUUUAUUUAAAAAUGUAAAUAUUUAUUUAACCAUAAGGUUAUCCACUCGCCCAUCUAUACCUUAAGUCCUAAGGUAAUAUAUAAUAUUAUAAUUAUUAUUAUUGUAUCUGUGUGUAAACUUGAAUAUUAAUAAUGUGGCACGAAAAUUUACAUGAACCCUCAUGCGAUAUAUAAUAUGAAGUUUUAUACUAUAGCCCCUAUUUAUCAAUUUUUUGUGAUAAUGAUCAAGGAAUUAUAAUAUUUUAUGUGACUAUAAAAGAAAAAAUAUUGGAAAAGAAAAUUAAAAUCCGAUUUUUUUAUUUCGAUGUCUAACGAUGUUUGUUUCUGACAUUCGAGUAAACAUAAGAAAUUAUUACAUAUCUGCAAAGCCUGGCCUAGAAAAGCUAGGAAGUUACUCUACAUUUUGUCCCAUCAGUUCAAUUUGUACGUAGGUUGCCGUGUAAAUUACAUUAUGAUACCAAG
Molecule: long non-coding RNA, 2378 nt
Organism: Manduca sexta (tobacco hornworm)
Lineage: Eukaryota; Metazoa; Arthropoda; Insecta; Lepidoptera; Sphingidae
Exons: 2
Source: RefSeq, a predicted model, not a curated record